RNAcentral lists this ribosomal RNA (428 nucleotides) under Papiliotrema flavescens. RNAcentral describes it as "partial large subunit ribosomal RNA". It matches the Rfam family "Eukaryotic large subunit ribosomal RNA", at positions 188 to 632 of the family's 3401-position model. Lineage: Eukaryota; Fungi; Basidiomycota; Tremellomycetes; Tremellales; Rhynchogastremaceae. The record is from RNAcentral.
CCUUGGAACAGGGUAUCAAAGAGGGUGAUAAUCCCGUACUUGACACAAUGACCGGUGCUCUGUGAUACGUCUUCUACGAGUCGAGUUGUUUGGGAAUGCAGCUCAAAAUGGGUGGUGAGUUCCAUCUAAAGCUAAAUAUUGGCGAGAGACCGAUAGCGAACAAGUACCGUGAGGGAAAGAUGAAAAGCACUUUGGAAAGAGAGUUAAACAGUACGUGAAAUUGUUAAAAGGGAAACGAUUGAAGUCAGUCGUGACUGAGAGGCUCAGCCGGUUCUGCCGGUGUAUUCCCCUCAGUCGGGUCAACAUCAGUUUUGUUCGGUGGAUAAGGGCAGUUGGAAGGUGGCACCCUCGGGUGUGUUAUAGCCAGCUGUCGCAUACAUCGGAUGAGACUGAGGAAUGCAGCUCGCCUUUAUGGCCGGGGUUCGCCC